AGUUAAAUCCUAGGGUUUCAUAAAUCCUUCCUCCCCAUUUCCGCCGCCACGGUGAAGCUUGCAGAAAUCUUCACUGGAGCUGUGUGAUCGUCGUCGAUUUGAUCUGAUCUGAUCGGUGACAGACUUGCCUGAGCAGCGCCGAUCACCUAACCUGUUGCAGAUCUGUCUUAGCUGCACACAACAUGGAGAUUUCAUCACUUUAGACUGCCGACUGUAGCUUUCCGGCGUCUUAUCAAUCAGAAAUCUUCCACCGAAGCUGUGUGUUCGUCGUGGAUCUGAACUGAUCUGUGACAGACUUGUCUGAUCAGCGCCGAUCACUUACACUGCAUGGAGAUUUCAUCACCUCAGACUGCCGAUAGUAGCUUUCCGGCGUCUUAUCAACCAGAUGAACUGUACAACCAUGGAGAACACUAUCUAAGGAGGAAUCCUAUGCUUUAAAUAAAGACCGAUGAACUAAAAAGAUGCAGAACUCUAUAUAAGGAAGAACUCUAAUCUGUAAAUAAAGGUUGUGGAUCGCUGAAGGAAUAAUACAAGUCCUAUUCAAUGGAAAUCUCAACAAAGUUGCCUAUUACCUUAUUCUAAGGGGGGCAUUCAGGUACGUUUUAUUUGAAUAAAUGAAUUAUU
Molecule: long non-coding RNA, 624 nt
Organism: Impatiens glandulifera
Lineage: Eukaryota; Viridiplantae; Streptophyta; Magnoliopsida; Ericales; Balsaminaceae
Exons: 4
Source: RefSeq, a predicted model, not a curated record